This 467-nucleotide ribosomal RNA is filed under the name uncultured bacterium. RNAcentral describes it as "partial 16S ribosomal RNA". It matches the Rfam family "Bacterial small subunit ribosomal RNA", at positions 28 to 507 of the family's 1533-position model. The record is from RNAcentral.
GACGAACGCUGGCGGCGUGCUUAACACAUGCAAGUCGAACGGAAAGGCCUCUUUCGGGGGGUACUCGAGUGGCGAACGGGUGAGUAACACGUGAGUAACCUGCCCUUGACUUUGGGAUAACUUCAGGAAACUGGGGCUAAUACCGGAUAGGAGCUCCUGCUGCAUGGUGGGGGUUGGAAAGUUUCGGCGGUUGGGGAUGGACUCGCGGCUUAUCAGCUUGUUGGUGGGGUAGUGGCUUACCAAGGCUUUGACGGGUAGCCGGCCUGAGAGGGUGACCGGCCACAGUGGGACUGAGAGAAGGCCCAGACUCCGACGGGAGGCAACAGGGGGGAAUAUUGCACAAUGGGUGGAAGCCUGAUGCAGCAACGCCGGGGGCGGGAUGACGGCCUUCGGGUUGUAAACCGUCUUCGCUCAUGACGAAGCUUUGUGUGACGGUAGUGGGUAAAGAAGCACCGGCUAACUACGUG